UGAAACAAGGAAGUGGAGACAAGGUUUUGGCUCCUCUUGUUAAAGGCUCAGAGAGGAGCCGAAACGUUGUCUCCACUUCCUUGUUUCAAAGAAAGACAG
Pelobates cultripes (western spadefoot toad) is the source of this 99-nucleotide non-coding RNA. NCBI's taxonomy places the organism in Eukaryota, Metazoa, Chordata, Amphibia, Anura, Pelobatidae. The record is from the annotation of a GenBank genome assembly.